RNAcentral lists this ribosomal RNA (456 nucleotides) under uncultured bacterium. RNAcentral's name for it is "bacterial SSU rRNA". It matches the Rfam family "Bacterial small subunit ribosomal RNA", at positions 74 to 507 of the family's 1533-position model. The record is from RNAcentral.
GUGUAGCAAUAUAUCUUAUUUGGAGCGGCGCAGGGGUGCGUAACACGUGGGUAAUCUGCCAUGAAGUAAGGGAUAACCCCGAGAAAUCGGGGCUAAUACCGGAUGUGAAAGCUGGGGGGCAUCUCUUGGUUUUCAAAGCUGGGGAUCGUAAAACCUGGCGCUUCAUGAUGAGCCCGCGGCCUAUCAGCUAGUUGGUGAGGUAACGGCUCACCAAGGCAAAAACGGGUAGCUGGUCUGAGAGGACAACCAGCCACACUGGAACUGAAACACGGUCCAAACACCUACGGGUGGCAGCAGUCGAAAAUUUUUCACAAUGGGCGCAAGCCUGAUGGAGCGACCCCGCGUGGGGGAUGAAUGGCUUCGGCCCGUAAACCCCUGUCAUUUGCGAUCAAACCUUAUUAUUUAAAAGAUGAUGAGCUGAUAGUAGCGAAAGAGGAAGGGACGGCUAACUCUGUG